Molecule: long non-coding RNA, 1691 nt
Organism: Cyanistes caeruleus (blue tit)
Lineage: Eukaryota; Metazoa; Chordata; Aves; Passeriformes; Paridae
Source: Ensembl
CUAAGAUAAUCCUGCAAACAUCUUCCUAAUUAUUUUGAGAUCCGUUUUUUCUUCUACAGAAGAAAGUAUGAGAAAAUUUGGGCAAACAUCUGACUUUUGCUCUCCCUACAGACGUCAUAUCUUCACUGAGGACCAUAUUGUCAUACCAUGUUCCCAAAACUUUUGAUAAGCUCUUGCCCAGACAGUGAAGUUUGUUUUACAGCUCUGUUAGCCACUCUGAUAACCAAGCCCACAUAUCCUGGCACAGCUCCACUGACUUCAGUGAACUGACAACAAUUUGCAUAUGGCAAAAACAUAGAUUAAGGCUCUUUUUGAAGUUCAGGCUUGAUUGCACCAGGGAGUUAAGCACCUAGCUACCUAUUAAAAUCUGAUCACUGCAAACACUCUUGAUUUCUUCUUAUUAGAAAACCCAGCUUCAGAUAAGACACUAAAUCACAGUUAUUCCCACACUGGCAAAAUUGUACAUCACCCUUUAUCCAACUGACAGCUAUUGUCUGAAAAUUAUGAACAACACAGCUGCAGGGAUCUUAGUCAAGGAUCAUCUUGGAUUCUGGACAAAUGAGGGAGUGGAGAUGACAAAGUGGCUUAACUUUUCAAAGAAGGCUCUCACCAGUCCAGAGUUGAAGGAAAAUUCAACAAGUGAAGGACAUUCCAGGAUGAUGUCCAAGGACCCCCAGCCCUGCCUUUUGGGGGAAACCUUUGACCUCAAUAUGAGCACAGGAGUCAUCCCACAAUGAUCCUAGCACUAAGAAACAAGGAUAAGAAGAAAAAAACCUGCAUUACUUGCCUUCAAUGGCUAAAUUGGAGCCAUUUAGGAGAGACAGGAUGGAUAAAGGGAUGGAAGGAGGUACCCUUCCCUUGUGCAUCCAGCACCUCUCUUUCAUGUGUUCAUGUUCAAGAGCAUAAAUAACAAGUUCCUCAUGGUAUUCUGGACUCUUGACAUCACAUGAAGACCUGGAAGAGUGAAAUAAGCUCCAGAGAGCUCUGCAGCCGAAGGACAGGUUUUGACUGGUGCAGACAUGGCAGGAAACUGCUGUCAGAAGCCUGUUCUAAGUCCUGUGCCACAGGUAGAGAAGAGAGAAUUAUGGGCUUAAAAUGAACAAGAGCUCAGGAUCAUAGGUUUUCUGUCACAGUCAUUCCUCUUGGAAUGUUCCCAGUGCUGCUCAGACCCCAAACCCUCACCCUACCCCAGAUGUGCAACACAAAUCUCACAAAUCUGAGUGUGCUGUGAGCUCUGGCACCAUCCUGAGUCCAGCACUUGUCCCACCCUGCCAGUUUGGGCAGGGGAGAGCUGGAGUUCUCCCAGGUGAGAAGGAACAGCCAUGGCAAUGUGCAGGGUGGCCUGGGCUGAUCUGCCUGGGCAGCCUCAGGGGCCUAUGGCCAAAAGGUUCUGCUGGCUUCCUCUCCAACUGGGUCUGGGAGCUUUCCUGUAUGUGGUAAAAGAAGGGGAAAUAAGAGCAAAUUUAUUCUGUCCCUCGUGAAAUGAGUGCUUCUUUUUACAUUGACCAAUUUUCUGAGUUUUUAAAUGAAGCUGGACACUAUGGGGAUGUUGUGUUGCUUUAAUUAGAACUUUGAUUUAUUGUUUUUCCUCGCUAUACCUCUCAACUCUUUCCUCUCCUAGUUUUCCUACUCAACUCUUUUUAAAGAGAAAGGUGGGUGGAAAUAAACAGGGGAAAUUGAAAAUAAAACCA